AGUGAACGCUGGCGGUAGGCCUAACACAUGCAAGUCGAACGGCAGCACAGGAGAGCUUGCUCUCUGGGUGGCGAGUGGCGGACGGGUGAGGAAUACAUCGGAAUCUACUUUUUCGUGGGGGAGAACGUAGGGAAACUUACGCUAAUACCGCAUACGACCUACGGGUGAAAGCAGGGGACCUUCGGUCCUUGCGCGAGUGAAUGAGCCGAUGUCGGAUUAGCUAGUUGGCGGGGUAAAGGCCCACCAAGGCGACGAUCCGUAGCUGGGCUGAGAGGAUGAUCAGCCACACUGGAACUGAGACACGGUCCAGACUCCUACGGGAGGCAGCAGUGGGGAAUAUUGGACAAUGGGCGCAAGCCUGAUCCAGCCAUACCGCGUGGGUGAAGAAGGCCUUCGGGUUGUAAAGCCCUUUUGUUGGGAAAGAAAUCCAGCUGGCUAAUACCCGGUUGGGAUGACGGUACCCAAAGAAUAAGCACCGGCUAACUUCGUGCCAGCAGCCGCCGUAA
RNAcentral lists this ribosomal RNA (506 nucleotides) under uncultured bacterium. Its description in RNAcentral is "partial 16S ribosomal RNA". It matches the Rfam family "Bacterial small subunit ribosomal RNA", at positions 29 to 523 of the family's 1533-position model. The record is from RNAcentral.